Molecule: long non-coding RNA, 1490 nt
Organism: Prosopis cineraria
Lineage: Eukaryota; Viridiplantae; Streptophyta; Magnoliopsida; Fabales; Fabaceae
Exons: 3
Source: RefSeq, a predicted model, not a curated record
CAAUCCUCACAAUCCCUCCCUUCAAAAUCUCAGAUCUACCUUCCCCUCGUAAAAAUCUCAGAUCUCCCUCUCUCUUCCUCAUCUCAUAGCUCGUGAAGAGCGACAACCACCGCCGUCGUCUUCAUCUGUCAACGCACCACCGUCAGUCUUCGAAGUCACGGCUUGUCGCCGCCGCCGCUUCAGCUUCCACGAGAUCUGGUUUUGCAGGGUGAGUCCGACGCCGAUUCGGCAGCCUGACCCUCCGUCGCCGUCCGACCUAAGCCUACCUUCCGUCACCGUCGCAGCUUGCCGCAUAUUCCGUCGCCCUUGUUGCUCCAUCAGGAUGCUUCCUUCGAUUUUCAAGCACAUACCAGUUGGAAUCUUCUCCAGACCAAAAAAGAAACCCCGUCCCCAGCCGAUUGCAGAUGCAGCAGUCAAGAGAGUCCGUAGAUUUUUUGUUGGGAAGAAUUAAGAAUGAAAAUGAAAGAAAAGUAGUUGAUUUUUUCCAACGCACUUAUAACAAAUGCUGCAUGUGAUAUGAAUUGUAUUAUUGAACUUGUUGGAAUUUAAUUACACCGCAUAUGUAAAUAGAGGUUUUUUCCUUUGCACAUGGACAAUGUACAUUUUUAUAAAUUAAAUAUCAAGGUAUCUUCAAAACAGAAAAUAUUUUUAACAUAUAUGUUUCAAAAAAUAUUUUUUAAAAAAUUGCAAUUUAAAAAUUUUAAUUAUGCAGUGUUCAAAGUAUAUCUAAAAUGUCAAUUUAUAAGAAUUAUUAAAAAAAAUUUAGUUUAAUUUAGAUAAUUUAUAUUAAAUAUUAGCUGCCCAAAAUGCUAAUCAAGCAAAUUGGGUAAAUUUUUUAAUUGAAAUUCGUAUUAUUAAGAUUAAAUUUAUAUUAUCUAGAUUGAUUGAACAAAUUUAUUGAAUUAUAUAAAAUUUUUUAAUAAUUUUAUAAUAAAAUAAAAACUAAAACUUUUAAACUUGGACUCCAGAUUUAAUCAAGCAGUCCAUACAGUGCUUUGUUUUGGAUACACAUAUAUAUACAUAUGAUUUGCUUUUGUCCUAAUAAUCUGCGCCGUUGUUCUUCGUUUGUCCUUUCAAUCCAAUUCGCUUAAAUCUUUGGGUUGUAAACACUUUUGUUUUAUUUUCUUAUUUUUUUUUAUAUUUCUUGUGAUUUGAGUUUUAAAAAUAUUUCACAAUUUUAAUUUUAUUGUCCUAUCUCCAUGGUGUUCUGUAGUAGCUUCAUCUUUAUUGUGUUCUCUAGUAGCUUCGUUCAUCUUCAUCAUGCUCUUUCUCCCUCUAAUAUCAUUCUUCCAAGCUCAAUAUGGUUUGUCCCAAAAAUACAACCAUAUGUAUAUGCUGGUAUAACAGUUAUUUUGUUUCAAGGAUCAUACGUUGUGAAAAGCAGUUGAGAUAUUUGACUUCCGUCUGAGAUUGUAUGGUGUCGGUUUGAAAUUGUACCCACCCUAUUUAUGCAUGUAUAUGUUGGGUUGUAUUAAAAGUACUCUCCUAUG